UUUCCUACGGGAGGCAGCAGUGGGGAAUAUUGGACAAUGGGCGAAAGCCUGAUCCAGCCAUGCCGCGUGUGUGAAGAAGGUCUUCGGAUUGUAAAGCACUUUAAGUUGGGAGGAAGGGCAGUAAGUUAAUACCUUGCUGUUGACGUACCAACAGAAAAGCCCGUUUCCC
RNAcentral lists this ribosomal RNA (169 nucleotides) under Pseudomonas aeruginosa. Its description in RNAcentral is "partial 16S ribosomal RNA". It matches the Rfam family "Bacterial small subunit ribosomal RNA", at positions 335 to 501 of the family's 1533-position model. The record is from RNAcentral. Lineage: Bacteria; Pseudomonadati; Pseudomonadota; Gammaproteobacteria; Pseudomonadales; Pseudomonadaceae.